Molecule: ribosomal RNA, 245 nt
Filed under: uncultured Anoxybacillus sp.
Lineage: Bacteria; Bacillati; Bacillota; Bacilli; Caryophanales; Anoxybacillaceae
Description: partial 16S ribosomal RNA
Rfam family: Bacterial small subunit ribosomal RNA
Source: RNAcentral
UCUAAGGUGACUGCCGGCUAAAAGUCGGAGGAAGGUGGGGAGUGACGUCAAAUCAUCAUGCCCCUUAUGACCUGGGCUACACACGUGCUACAAUGGGCGGUACAAAGGGUCGCGAACCCGCGAGGGGGAGCCAAUCCCAAAAAGCCGCUCUCAGUUCGGAUUGCAGGCUGCAACUCGCCUGCAUGAAGCCGGAAUCGCUAGUAAUCGCGGAUCAGCAUGCCGCGGUGAAUACGUUCCCGGGCCUU